AUGUUCAAAGCGAAUUCUUUUCUUCCCUCUAAUGUGCGUGAUUUUCAUUUCCUUCCUUCUGCCGGUGCAUCUGGUGGCUCACUUAUCGCUUGGAAUGCCGACGAUUUUAAGUGCACUCAGGUGCGGCGAGAUUCCUUCUCUAUUUCAUGCUGGUUCGAGUCCAAUUUAUCGGAUCUCUCUUUCGCAGUCACAAACGUCUACGGACCUUGCGCUCAUGCCGAAAAACAACAUUUCUUAGACGAGCUAAUCACUAUUUGCCCUACCAUUAGUGUCCCUUGGUCUGUUAUUGGAGAUUUCAACCUUACUUUAAAACCUUCCGACAAAUCUAUGUCAAACUUCAACUCUUCCGAGGCGGCUAUGUUUGCAGGUGCAAUCAAUUCCAUGGCGCUCCAGGAAAUCCCCUUGCUGGAUCGCCUUUUCACUUGGGCAAACAACCAGAGUAAUACAAUCUUGGUCAAGCUCGACCGCGUUUUCGUUAACUUGGACUGGGCACUGGUCAACCCAUUUCCCGAAUUGCACAAUUCGUUCGCUCACGCGCACAACCUCGGAUCAUGUUCCCCUCUGUAUGUCGUCUUCCAUAAACAUUCCCAGGCCUUCGGUUUUCAGGCUAAACAACUGGCUAUUAAAAUCCGAGACGUUCUCUGCUGA
This 648-nucleotide ribosomal RNA is filed under the name Triticum aestivum (bread wheat). Its description in RNAcentral is "partial small subunit ribosomal RNA". The record is from RNAcentral. Lineage: Eukaryota; Viridiplantae; Streptophyta; Magnoliopsida; Poales; Poaceae.